RNAcentral lists this long non-coding RNA (1597 nucleotides) under Triticum aestivum (bread wheat). Its description in RNAcentral is "long non-coding RNA (TAES_LNC004365)". The record is from RNAcentral. Lineage: Eukaryota; Viridiplantae; Streptophyta; Magnoliopsida; Poales; Poaceae.
UGCUGCUGGAGGAUCCAGAGGGUUAUAUCAAUUUAUGGAAGUUGUUUGAUCAAUACAAAGUUCUGUGUUUUGAACCUACAGACUCAAGCAAUACCAAGCUAUGCUUUACUUCCUUUGCAGUUGACAUACUAAAGUAAGUCUGCACUUUUAAGUUCAGUUGCACUGAGUUUGGUAGGUCCUGUAACAUGAAUUAUAUUUUGUAGGGAACUGUACAUGAUAGUCCUAAAGGAAGGGCAAGGUGCCGAUUUCCUGUUUAAAUUUGAGGCAUCACAGAUCCUUGUUAAGUGGGAUUCUGGCAUUGUUGAACAUAUUGCUAUACCUGCAUCACAAUUCCAAAGUGGUAAAUAAAUCAUGAUCCCUUCAUAUAAUUCACAGUAUAUAUUUUUCGUUUAUUGAUUUUUAUUGUUAUUUCGUUUAAUGCAUCACAAUAUACUUGAAACAUAACAACAUGUACAUCAUAAUUCCCAGAACCUGUAAGUGGAAUUCUGCACAAUAUAGUUUUUUUGUUUACUUAUUUAUGUUUGACAAUGGAAGUCUUGCAAUUCUGUUCAUUUUUUAUAUUCUAACAUAUAUUAAUUGUCUACUUUAUAAUUCCCCCAAGUAAAUCUAUCUACGUUGACAGAAUUGUUGGCGCAUUUACAGGCUUGGUGUAUUCAAUCUGUGGCACGGUGAUUGGUCUCAACUGCAAUGAACUACUUCAUUUGAUGUUGCUUGCGCAAAACAAAAGGUGAAGUUUUAUGUUUUUUCUCUUUUUGUCUCAUAAAACUGAGUGAGCACAUCACACACUCCUAAGCUCUAGGCACAAGCUACCUUGAAGCUGAAACACAAAACAGGAACCACAAGCAGUUUUCUAGGCAUGCAGUGCAUGGUUUGAUGAAGUAAAACCUACCUUCCAUAAAAACAGAUUGAGCAUCAGAGACUCGUCUAUCAGCUUUGUUAUUCAAGACUUUUUGAAAGGCACAUUUAAAAGACAAAUGGGUCUACACAUUUAGAUUUUGUCAGCCCCCUGUCCUUCAGACAGGGGCACUGCAAUCCCGCAGUUAAGCCUACAAAGCUGGAGCUUACCUUCAUAAUAUCAUUGAAAGGCUUCAGGAAAUCAUGCUCAAUUAAGUACUACCAUUUUUUGUUGUUGAGAAAACUCCACAGAGAACCCAUGAGGGCCUGGUGCUCGAUGUGCUCUAUAGAUAAUUCUUUGUCCCUGUUGGACAGAACUUCAGGAAGGGUCAGAAAGAGAAACAAGCAGCAGCACGGGUCCAAACAACUCUUUAUUGUACUUAGUAGCAUAAUUCAAAAUGUUCUUAUCCCCCUUACAUCACCCCUCACCCCCACCCCGCACCCCAAUUGUACAGAUCACGACGGUGCUUCGGAGAUGGAGAUCACAAGCACAAGAUGAUGAUGGCCAUAUCAUAUCACUUAUAUUGGUUGCAUGUGAUGUUUAUCCUUUAUGCAUCUUAUCUUGCUUUAAUUGACGUUAGCAUUUUAAGAUGAUCUCUCACUAAUUAUCAAGAAGUGUUCUCCCUGAGUAUGCACCGUUGUGAAAGUUCUUUGUGCUGAGACACCACGUGAUGAUCGGGUGUGAUAGGCUCUACGUUCAAAU